RNAcentral lists this long non-coding RNA (1568 nucleotides) under Androctonus crassicauda. The record is from RNAcentral. Lineage: Eukaryota; Metazoa; Arthropoda; Arachnida; Scorpiones; Buthidae.
UGAAGAUGAAUCUCAGCCUGGUGUAAGACUGAUAUUCCCUUUUGCAAAUCGCUAGUCAUAUGGCAAAGCACGCAAGAAGGCCAUUUCAGCACUACCCCAUAGUCCAAGAAAAAGAAGAGAGCUGAUUUCAAAAACAGAAGAUCAAUGAUGCCUUUCGCUUCAUCAAGCAGGUAUUCCGAAUGGAAUUUUUCAGUCAUAGCAUGGCAAAGGGCCUUAUGGCGGAAUAGGAGGGGCAGUAAAAAGAACAAUUUGGAAGAAAGUUUUACAGGCAAAUAACAAUCAGAAAUGCUGAAGGAUUUUUAUUGUGUGCGCCAAAAAUCAGGAAGAAAACAAGAUCAGAUGUCUGUAUGUGACAGAAGAAGAAAUUAUGAAAGAAUAAAGUGAUAAGCUAGAGGAGCUCUUAAAAAAUGUUAAAUCCAGUUAAAGGAGUUCAAACCGCAAGAAGUAUAGUAAAAACUAGAUCUCUUGAAAUUAGCCUGUUCAAGAACAUCGGUGAUUCUGAACCAACUGGUCUUCCCAUAACACUUUUAAAACAUCAUGAUUCAAUUAAUGUCAGUGAUGAGUCUGCAGACGUGAAUAGAAGAAUGUUAAAGCUGAAGAGAUUUAGUCCUACACAUUAUAUUUGCACGAAAGACUAAUUCUUGAUAAUCCGCAAGUUUUUAUGUAAUCUGAGCUUCAUAUUAUAAAUCCAUUUCUAAAUGCCAGUGAAGGUAAACAGUAUUAAAAUAUUUACUCACUCGCGAGUUCGUUUGUCACAGUUACGUUAGUCACGCAUACAUAGUGCGUUUUUUGUUUACAGUGAAUUCUAUAUGGUGCUUUCUUAUUAUGUUAAUUCACAAAAUAAUAGUUAAGGCCAUGAAUCACUUAUUUAAAAAAAUAUUGUGUCAUAUUAAGCCGUUAUUUUAGAGAAUUUUAUACCUAAAGUAAGGAUUACUUUUACCAGGUUGCAUUUCUGUUAAGUUUGUCACAGUGUGCCAAAGUGUAUUUAAUUAUGAAAUUACGUUAAAAAAUAAAAUCAGAUCUCUAUUUUGUUCAUAUAUAAUUAAUUUACAAUAAUAUGUAAUUUAUUAUUAUUAUUCUGACAAUACAUAUUUUAAUUUCAUUAAAAACUGGAAGAAAAAUUGUGCAAAUGUUACGUUUGUCACAAUGGAAUGACCCUCCAAACAAAUUCGUCUACUGCUAUAAUUCACAAACAUCUCUAUAACUGGAUCAACAUGGCUGACCAAGUUCCGCCUCAACAUGCAAUGAUAGUUCCACAUUUCUCCUACAGGUUACAGCCCCAUAUAAGGGCAAAACAAGUACUGCCCCAUUGCACCCCAUUACACCCCAUGCUACUCCGGGUUUCCCUACAUGUUUGAUGAUAUUGAAAAGAUUACAAAAAUAUUUAAAAAGGUUAUACAAUCAUUUAGUUCCUACCUUUUUGUUAAUUUCAAUCAUUCCUGUUUCGUCCAAUCACUUUCCAUGAUAUGUGCUCAAUGUGGAGGAAGUUAUGUGUUUCAACAGUAAUCAGUAAAUUUUGUGAUUAGUCAAUGUAAUUCCAUUGGUUUGAUUCCCUGAUUCAAUAGUCU